This 759-nucleotide ribosomal RNA is filed under the name uncultured Porphyromonas sp. RNAcentral describes it as "bacterial SSU rRNA". It matches the Rfam family "Bacterial small subunit ribosomal RNA", at positions 28 to 776 of the family's 1533-position model. Lineage: Bacteria; Pseudomonadati; Bacteroidota; Bacteroidia; Bacteroidales; Porphyromonadaceae. The record is from RNAcentral.
GAUGAACGCUAGCGAUAGGCUUAACACAUGCAAGUCGAGGGGCAGCAUGGUCUUAGCUUGCUAAGACUGAUGGCGACCGGCGCACGGGUGCGUAACGCGUAUGCAACUUGCCUCACAGAGGGGGAUAACCCGUCGAAAGACGGACUAAUACCGCGUACACUUGGAAUAGGGCAUCCUAUCCCAAGGAAAUGAAUUUCGCUGUGAGAUAGGCAUGCGUCCCAUUAGCUAGUUGGUGAGGUAACGGCUCACCAAGGCAACGAUGGGUAGGGGAACUGAGAGGUUGAACCCCCACACUGGUACUGAGACACGGACCAGACUCCUACGGGAGGCAGCAGUGAGGAAUAUUGGUCAAUGGGCGAGAGCCUGAACCAGCCAAGUCGCGUGAAGGAUGACUGUCUUAUGGAUUGUAAACUUCUUUUAUACGGGAAUAACAAGAGUCACGUGUGGCUCCCUGCAUGUACCGUAUGAAUAAGCAUCGGCUAACUCCGUGCCAGCAGCCGCGGUAAUACGGAGGAUGCGAGCGUUAUCCGGAUUUAUUGGGUUUAAAGGGUGCGUAGGCGGCCUGUUAAGUCAGCGGUGAAAUCUAGGAGCUUAACUCCUAAAUUGCCAUUGAUACUGGCGGGCUUGAGUGUAGAUGAGGUAGGCGGAAUGCGUGGUGUAGCGGUGGAAUGCAUAGAUAUCACGCAGAACUCCGAUUGCGAAGGCAGCUUACUAAGGUACAACUGACGCUGAAGCACGAAAGCGUGGGUAUCAAACAGG